This is a non-coding RNA of Caenorhabditis elegans, 21 nucleotides long. Lineage: Eukaryota; Metazoa; Nematoda; Chromadorea; Rhabditida; Rhabditidae. The record is from Ensembl.
UAAAAGGGCAUUUGAACUUAA